GUGAGCAUUUCUGUGCUCUGCGCACCUAUGGGAAGAACAAAGCACAAUCAGUAAGAGGGACGAAGUAGAGAGGAAGUUUAUAUGAGGGAAAAGGAAACAGUGAUUGUUAAAGAUCAAUUUAAGCUACCCUACCAUUUUGCCUAUGCUUUCUCUACUAAAACUGAGAGCUUGAGGGAGGAAGGGAGGGAGGGUCUGGGAUUGUAACCGCCUACUGGCCGGUGGGGGCAGUAGGGAGCUGCCUAUAGGAGCAGAGCUAUAGCAGGCUGGGUAACCAGAUGCCUAGUCUGGGGGAGAACAUCAUGAUGUCUUCAGCCUGGAAGUUAGGAUUCAGAGUUAGGGCGUCCUAUUGAAGAGGUGGCUACUUAAAGGCACUCAGUGGCUUCUUAGGACAGAAAAUCCUGACCCUGUAGUUGGGUGGAGCCCAACGGGUACUACUUCUGGCCAAUGAGUUGUGAGGGAGAAAUAAAGCAUGAAAGAUCCUGGCUGGCAAAUUGAAUUGCUGACACAAGAUCCUCCAAAGCUCCUUACUUCUGCCACUCCCAUUGGCUGAACCCAACUGGAGGUCUUAGAUGCAAAAGCAGCCUCGAAGACACAGAGCAAUAUUCCAGAGGGUGGGCCUUCAGCCUAAAUCCAGUAUAAGGACGAUCCAGAACAAAGAACCAGCUUGAUUCACAACAGACACCUAAUAUGAAUUAUGACUCAAGAGUUAAAAUUGGCUGUUUCCAUUCCC
Molecule: long non-coding RNA, 730 nt
Filed under: Equus caballus (horse)
Lineage: Eukaryota; Metazoa; Chordata; Mammalia; Perissodactyla; Equidae
Description: lncRNA (ENSECAG00000047211.1)
Source: RNAcentral